RNAcentral lists this ribosomal RNA (253 nucleotides) under uncultured bacterium. RNAcentral describes it as "partial 16S ribosomal RNA". It matches the Rfam family "Bacterial small subunit ribosomal RNA", at positions 524 to 776 of the family's 1533-position model. The record is from RNAcentral.
GACGUAGGGUGCAAGCGUUGUCCGGAAUUAUUGGGCGUAAAGAGCUUGUAGGCGGUUUGUCGCGUCUGCUGUGAAAUUUCGGGGCUCAACCCCGAACUUGCAGUGGGUACGGGCAGACUAGAGUGUGGUAGGGGAGACUGGAAUUCCUGGUGUAGCGGUGAAAUGCGCAGAUAUCGGGAGGAACACCAGUGGCGAAGGCGGCACUCUGGGCCGGUACUGACGCUGAGGAGCGAAAGCGUGGGGAGCGAACAGG